UACGUAGGGACCAAGCGUUGUUCGGAUUUACUGGGCGUAAAGGGCGCGUAGGCGGCGCGGUAAGUCACUUGUGAAAUCUCUGAGCUUAACUCAGAACGGCCAAGUGAUACUGCUGUGCUAGAGUGCAGAAGGGGCAAUCGGAAUUCCUGGUGUAGCGGUGAAAUGCGCAGAUAUCAGGAGGAACACCAGUGGCGAAGGCGCCGCUCUGGGCCGUGACUGACGCUGAGGAGCGAAAGCGUGGGUAGCAAACAGG
This 253-nucleotide ribosomal RNA is filed under the name uncultured bacterium. Its description in RNAcentral is "partial 16S ribosomal RNA". It matches the Rfam family "Bacterial small subunit ribosomal RNA", at positions 524 to 776 of the family's 1533-position model. The record is from RNAcentral.